GGCCGUCUAGCUCAGUUGGUUAGAGCGUCGUGCUAAUAUGAUUUGUGAUUCAUACUUCAUUUACGCGAAGGUCUUGGGUUCGACCCCCACGAUGGCCA
Non-coding RNA from Mycena galopus ATCC 62051, 98 nucleotides. Lineage: Eukaryota; Fungi; Basidiomycota; Agaricomycetes; Agaricales; Mycenaceae. The record is from the annotation of a GenBank genome assembly.